GCCCACUGCCGCACGGGGGCGUGGCCAGGUUCUGCCCGGAGGCUCGCCACGCCCCGCUUCACAACCUCUGCAAGCCAGGCAUGCGCAUUACUAACAAGCUCCAGAGAGUGUUUAAAAGAGAACAUCAGUCAUCAGUCAUGAAGCACAAGCACAGAAGCCCCUGAGGAUGCUUCCAGAAUUAUAGAGACUUGUACCAAAUGAACCCAAGGAGAGAAUUCUUAAUGAUGAAGAACUGUUGGAAGCAAGACUGGGAAGGGCUGACCUGUGCCCUUCUAGCAAAUAACACAACGGUGUCUCCAGAACUGAGUGGGUACUAAGACCCUAUGCCCAUACCUGUCCAACCUAUAGGAGGAAGUAGCCUUGGGGAUGUCACUGUGUUCCUGCCAGGGGCCCAAGGCUCAUUAAGCUAAUUGCUUUCUGGGGAAAGUGGUUUUGCUUUAUAUGUCUUAACAUCUGGGGAGAGAGACCACCUGUGCAUCACAGGAAGCACAGGACAGACUACAGCAUGAACAGAGUUGGUGAAGGCCACUGGAAAAAGGCAAGGUAGCCUGUCACAAGGAUACCAACCAAUGUCACCAAAAUGAAAUAGAGGAGCCAGUCUAUACCAGUCAUUGCAGUUAUCAAGGAGAUUAAAAUACCUCUGCUCAGCCUUAAAAAUGAUGAGAGGAAAAUAAAUUAUAAGACAUUAGCAAUCUAAGGAGAAAGUUAUAGAAUAGCACUUAGAAGUCAGACCUUAACACUUCAAGGCCCUUUAGUGGAUGCUGUGCUUGUUAUUGUCAGGUCUAGACACCUAGUAAGAAAGAUGAAUAUCCCAUCAUGCAUUUUAGACUAGUAGUUGAGUGUGAUGCAAAGAAGACCUUAAUAGGGAAGAAAUCUGAAUUUCCCUUAAACGAUAACAACAAGCAAAUAGUUGGACAAAUGGAAUGGCUUGUGUUGGUAGACGUCAUGUUAUUUUUCAAAAAAAAAAAAAGUAAAAUGUUACCUUUUU
This 988-nucleotide long non-coding RNA is filed under the name Mus pahari (shrew mouse). RNAcentral describes it as "RIKEN cDNA 4930412F09 gene (MGP_PahariEiJ_G0004984.1)". Lineage: Eukaryota; Metazoa; Chordata; Mammalia; Rodentia; Muridae. The record is from RNAcentral.